This 1694-nucleotide ribosomal RNA is filed under the name human oral metagenome. Its description in RNAcentral is "bacterial LSU rRNA". It matches the Rfam family "Bacterial large subunit ribosomal RNA", at positions 1391 to 2925 of the family's 2925-position model. The record is from RNAcentral.
CUAAGGCGAGGCCGACAGGCGUAGUCGAUGGAUGACGGGUUGAUAUUCCCGUACCGGCGAAGCACCGCCCAUGCUGACGCGCGGGUGCUAACCCACGCCCAGCCGCCAUGUAGGCCGCGCCUACUCCUUUCGGGGGGUGGUGUGGUUGUGGUGGUGGGGUCUGGGGAUCCUCCGUGCAGGUAGGCAAGCGUGUUAACAGGGGUGACGCACAGUGGUAGCCCGGCGGACCUGAUGGCUUGGUCCGUUCAAGCGCGCAGCCCGUCCUCCAGGUAAAUCCGGGGUGACUGUCUUUGAUGACGGGGGUGAGGCGUGAUGGUGACCCCACACUGGUGGGGGAUAGCAGGGUGAUCCUGGGGUGCCGAGAAAAGCCUCGACGCGAUGGUGCCAGCCGCCCGUACCCUAAACCGACACAGGUGGUCGGGCAGAGUAUGCCUAGGCGCACGAGUGAAUCAUGGUUAAGGAACUCGGCAAAAUGCCCCCGUAACUUCGGGAGAAGGGGGGCCCGAUCCCUUGAAGCCCCGUGGCGGGCUAGGGGGGUGGGUCGCAGAGACCAGGGGGAAGCGACUGUUUACUAAAAACACAGGUCCGUGCGAAGCCGUAAGGCGAUGUAUACGGACUGACGCCUGCCCGGUGCUGGAAGGUUAAGAGGAACCAUCAACCCUCGGGUGAAGUGGUGAAUUUAAGCCCCAGUAAACGGCGGUGGUAACUAUAACCAUCCUAAGGUAGCGAAAUUCCUUGUCGGGUAAGUUCCGACCUGCACGAAUGGCGUAACGACUUCCCCGCUGUCUCAACCAUGAGCUCGGCGAAAUUGCAGUACGAGUAAAGAUGCUCGUUUCGCGCAGAAGGACGGAAAGACCCCGGGACCUUUACUACAGCUUGGUAUUGGCGCCCGCUAUAGCUUGUGCAGGAUAGGUGGGAGACUGUGAAGCCGUUACGCCAGUAGCGGUGGAGUCGUCCUUGAAAUACCACUCUGGUUAUGGCGUGCGCCUGAACCUGGGCCCGUGAUCCGGGUUAGGGACAGUGCCUGGUGGGUAGUUUAACUGGGGCGGUUGCCUCCUAAAGUGUAACGGAGGCGCUCAAAGGUUCCCUCAGCCUGGUCGGCAACCAGGUGUUGAGUGCAAGUGCACAAGGGAGCUUGACUGUGAGACCGACGGGUCGAGCAGGUACGAAAGUAGGAACUAGUGAUCCGGCGAUCCCGUGUGGGUGGGUCGUCGCUCAACGGAUAAAAGGUACCCCGGGGAUAACAGGCUGAUCCUGCCCAAGAGUCCAUAUCGACGGCAUGGUUUGGCACCUCGAUGUCGGCUCGUCGCAUCCUGGGGCUGGAGCAGGUCCCAAGGGUUGGGCUGUUCGCCCAUUAAAGCGGUACGCGAGCUGGGUUUAGAACGUCGUGAGACAGUUCGGUCCCUAUCCUCUGCGCGCGCAGGAGACUUGAGAAGGCCUGUCCCUAGUACGAGAGGACCGGGACGGACGAACCUCUAGUGCGCCAGUUGUCCCGCCCGGGGCACCGCUGGUUAGCCACGUUCGGAUACGGAUAACCGCUGAAAGCAUCUAAGCGGGAAACCAUCUUCAAGACCAGGUCUCCACACACCACCAUGGUGUGGAAGGCCCCCAGCAGACCACUGGGUAGAUAGGCCAGACGUGCACGAUCGGUAACGAUCGAAGCUGACUGGUACUAACCGGCCGACACAACACAC